Molecule: signal recognition particle RNA, 297 nt
Filed under: Callithrix jacchus (white-tufted-ear marmoset)
Lineage: Eukaryota; Metazoa; Chordata; Mammalia; Primates; Cebidae
Description: Metazoan signal recognition particle RNA (ENSCJAG00000085597.1)
Rfam family: Metazoan signal recognition particle RNA
About the family: The signal recognition particle (SRP) is a universally conserved ribonucleoprotein.
Source: Rfam by way of RNAcentral
GCCGGGUGCGGUGGCACGUGCCUGUAGUCUCAGCUAUUCAGGAGGCUGAGGUGGGAGGAUCGCUUGAGCCCAGUUCUGGGCUGUAGUGCACUAUGCCGAUCCGGUGUCCGCACUAAGUUCGGCAUCAAUAUGGUGACCUCCCGGGAGCAGGGGAUCACCAGGUUGCCUAAGGAGAGGCGAACUGGCCCAGGUUGGAAAUGGAGCAGGUCAAAACUCCCAUGGUGAUCAGUAGUGGGAUCGUGCCUGUGAAGAGCCACUGCACUCCAGCCUGGGCAACAUAGGGAGACCCCAUCUCUA